Molecule: ribosomal RNA, 258 nt
Filed under: uncultured bacterium
Lineage: Bacteria
Description: partial 16S ribosomal RNA
Rfam family: Bacterial small subunit ribosomal RNA
Source: RNAcentral
CGGACGGGUGAGUAACGCGUGAGGAACCUGCCUCAAAGAGGGGGACAACAGUUGGAAACGACUGCUAAUACCGCAUAAGCCCACGGCUCGGCAUCGAGCAGAGGGAAAAGGAGCAAUCCGCUUUGAGAUGGCCUCGCGUCCGAUUAGCUAGUUGGUGAGGUAACGGCCCACCAAGGCGACGAUCGGUAGCCGGACUGAGAGGUUGAACGGCCACAUUGGGACUGAGACACGGCCCAGACUCCUACGGGAGGCAGCAUG